Molecule: transfer RNA, 68 nt
Filed under: Marmota marmota marmota (Alpine marmot)
Lineage: Eukaryota; Metazoa; Chordata; Mammalia; Rodentia; Sciuridae
Also listed under: 1 other name
Rfam family: tRNA
About the family: Transfer RNA (tRNA) molecules are approximately 80 nucleotides in length. Their secondary structure includes four short double-helical elements and three loops (D, anti-codon, and T loops). Further hydrogen bonds mediate the characteristic L-shaped molecular structure. tRNAs have two regions of fundamental functional importance: the anti-codon, which is responsible for specific mRNA codon recognition, and the 3' end, to which the tRNAs corresponding amino acid is attached (by aminoacyl-tRNA synthetases). tRNAs cope with the degeneracy of the genetic code in two manners: having more than one tRNA (with a specific anti-codon) for a particular amino acid; and 'wobble' base-pairing, i.e. permitting non-standard base-pairing at the 3rd anti-codon position.
Source: Rfam by way of RNAcentral
GUUGUUGCUCAGUUGUAGAGCACUUGCCUAGCAUACAUGAGGCACUGGGUUCGAUCCCCAGGACCACA